UACGUAGGGGGCAAGCGUUAUCCGGAUUUACUGGGUGUAAAGGGAGCGUAGGCGGUGAUGCAAGUCAGAAGUGAAAACCCGGGGCUCAACCCCGCGGAUUGCUUUUGAGACUGUGUUGCUGGAGUACAGGAGGGGCAGGCGGAAUUCCUGGUGUAGCGGUGAAAUGCGUAGAUAUCAGGAGGAACACCGGUGGCGAAGGCGGCCUGCUGGACUGUAACUGACGCUGAGGCUCGAAGGCGUGGGGAGCAAACAGG
Molecule: ribosomal RNA, 254 nt
Filed under: uncultured Lachnospiraceae bacterium
Lineage: Bacteria; Bacillati; Bacillota; Clostridia; Lachnospirales; Lachnospiraceae
Description: partial 16S ribosomal RNA
Rfam family: Bacterial small subunit ribosomal RNA
Source: RNAcentral